AUCCGUACCGCAAACCGACACAGGUAUUCAAGUCGAGUAGACUAAGGCGAACGAGUGAUUUCUCCCUAAGGAACUAGGCAAAAAAGCGAUCGUAAGUUAGCGAUAAGAUCUGCCUCCACCACUUUGUGUUUAAAAGUGGUGGUCCUAGAGAAUUAGAAAGACGAGACAAACGUCACUAUCAUAGAGCUAUGAUAGUGACACAAAACUGUGAAUUAAGUGUGAUGGAAAUGAUUCUCUACGACUCACUCACUUUUGAAAAUAAAGUGGUGGAGGCCGCAGCGAAAGUUUCCCUAGCGACUGUUUAUCAAAAACACAGCUUCCUGCGAACACGUAAGUGGAUGUAUAGGAGGUGACGCCUGACCAAUGCGGGAAGGUCAAAUAUCGAUAGUUCUUCGGAGCCAGGUGAUAUAAGCCCCCGUCAAUGUCGGCCGUAACUAUAACGGUCCUAAGGUACUGACCAUAGCUAAUAUGGUCAGUAGGACUAGGACGGUUAUAGCCAUGUUUUUGUUAACAAUCUAAUCAUACGCCUACUAAAAGCUACCUCAUGUACAGAAAUGCACAUAGAGUCCGAAGUGGUUAGCGAGAGACCAACGCCACACAUCUGACCAUUUAGUUGAAGAUGAAGAUAGAGUCCAACUGUGAGGAAUAGUUGAGCGAAAUUCCUUGUCUGGUAAGUUCAGACGUGCACGAAUGGCGUAACGACUGGGGAACUGUCUCAGGGAGUAGCUCGGUGAAAAUACAGUGGGGGUGAAGAUGCCCCCUAGCUGCAGAUAGACGAAAAGACCCCGUGAGCUUUACUCCAACUUGGUAUUGCAAUUGUUCAAUUACUGCGUAGUGUAGUGGUGAGAGGUUUGAUGUUCAUGAUUUCGGUUGUGAUCUACUCGUCGAUGAAACAGCCAUCUUUAAUUGGGCAAUUGCUAACGUACGCGGAAAAAACGCGUGCAGACAGUAUCUGGUGGGGAGUUUAACUGGGGCGGUUUCCUCCUAAAAAGUAACGGAGGAGUACAUUAAGGUCAUCUAGGCGCGAAUGGAAACCGUGCCGAUAGCGCAAGGGCAUAUGAUGGCUUGACUGUAAGACGGGCAUGUCGAGCAGACGCGAAAGCGGGUCCUAGUGAACCUACUCUUGGCUUUAGACGCCGGAGCAGAUCAACGGAUAGAAGCUACCACGGGGAUAACAGGCUAGUUGUGCCCAAGAGUUCAUAUCGACGGCACAGUUCGGCACCUCGAUGUCGGCUCAUCUUAUCCUGGUGGUGGAGAAGCUACCAAGGGUUUGGCUGUUCGCCAAUUAAAAAGAUACGUGAGCUGGGUUCAAACCGUGGAGGAGUGAAUUAUACAGAACGAUUAAUAACGUUAUUUUCUCGAAUAACACCAGUUAUUAGUCAAUUCAGUUUUGUAUAAUUGACUUCUCCUAGUUUGAACCCGAGGAGUUAAGACUAAACUUAACAAAAAGACAUUGAUCACGGCGGUCAUAUAUAGCGAUAUAUAUGGACAAGCUAACUAAUAUCGGGGAAAUCCGUACCAAUGGUGCGGACAAUUCCGAGGGAAUCACAUGCAAGUAGCAGGUGAGCCCGUAGAGACUACACGUUAGCACUCUAGAUGUAUUUGGUAUUUAACUAAUAAAUAAUUACCAAUAACUAAAGACUAGAAUAAGCUAUAGUCCGAUCCCUCUAGUAAUAGAGGUUCAUACAGGUUGGAAACCAAGGUAUGAUAUAAAACAUGAAUGCGUGAGACAGGUUGGUUUCCUAUCUUCUGCAGCCGUUCGAAUAUUGAGAAGAUUUGCUCCUAGUACGAGAGGACCGGAGUGAACUGACCUCUGGUGUACCUGCUCUAGCGCCAGCUGGACCGCAGGGUAGCUAUGUCGGGAAUGGAUAAGUUCUGAAAGCAUCUAAGAACGAAGCCAACUUCAAGAUGAGUAUUCGUUGAAGGGUCGUGAGAGAUGAUCACGUUGAUAGGAGCUAGAUGUACGCACAGUAAUGUGUUUAGUCGAGGCUUACUAAUUACCCGAAAUUCCUAUUAGG
Molecule: ribosomal RNA, 2018 nt
Filed under: Minisyncoccota bacterium
Lineage: Bacteria; Bacillati; Minisyncoccota
Description: partial 23S ribosomal RNA
Rfam family: Bacterial large subunit ribosomal RNA
Source: RNAcentral